UUCUGCUGCUUUUUCUUUUAGUUUAAACAUAUUUAUUUAUAGUGGAUUGGGAAACAAAUUAUUACAACUUAUAUUAAUCCGUUUCCACUUUGAGGGUGCGAGUGCUUCCUUGUAGCCUUCGCCUGCUCUUUCCGAAAUCUAAAAGGGUGAAUUUUAUGUGCAAGAGAUAUUGCUCUCUCUUAAUAAAACACGGGUCAGUCAUUUAUCGCCCCCUGCCGACGGACUAUCAUUGUUUCACAAGACCAUCAUACUCGCAAAUGGUGUCAAGGGCUUAUUCUUUUAUCCGCUUU
This 290-nucleotide long non-coding RNA is filed under the name Mytilus galloprovincialis (Mediterranean mussel). Lineage: Eukaryota; Metazoa; Mollusca; Bivalvia; Mytilida; Mytilidae. The record is from RNAcentral.